GAGAGAGUGCAAAUGAGGGCAAAGAGGGUCCCCAGGGCUGGACUUGUUCAAACCUUAGAAUAACUCACAGGAUCAAGAGGUCUAAAAUAGGAGACAGAGAACAGAACAAAAGCAAAAUCUGGAAGCAAAUUACAGAAAUGUAUUUAGUUUGUUAUUUAGUGAGAUUUUGGCUUGCUGAAAUGUCUGUAUAAGCAUUAUUAUCGAUAUAUUUGAUAAUGAGUGCCAUGCUUAGCCUACUAAUGAGUAUAAUUAAUGUAGAUCAUGCCUAUUUGGGAGUGAAGCCUGGCAUCUUCUUUUUGGAAGACUAAAGGUUUUAGUAAAAGUAGAAAUUCUGUUUUGUCUAGUAUCAAUGCUAUCAACCAAAAUUAAGGGAGUAUAAAAUAGCUAGCUAGAUAACUGAGGCUUAGUGAUGUAACUGGAUGAUUUAGUGGUUUAGAAUUUGUUGGGUUUUGGAUUUAUAGUGCCUGGGUUCAAAUCUUGGAAUUCCUACCUGAGGAACUUCAGGGAUAACACUGGCAAUAAUCAAAGCAAGUCCACUACCAGGUAUGUACUGUUAUUACCAUCAUUUUAUGAUAAGAAGACUGAAUCUCAGAGAUCACUCUGAGGCCAAACAGUCCAGCUUCACAUUAUAAGUGAAAGUUCAUUAUGACCUAAUCCUGACCUAUCAGAGAACAAAACCACAAGAGAAUGAAUUUAUACCAUCUCUUGGCAAAAAUGGGAUCAAGGAUGAUAAGGCAAGAAGGCCCUUGCUUAUGCUGACACUGUGAACUUGGACUUUGAAGACUCCAGAACUGAGGACCUUUCCUGGAUAAGUCCUGAAGAAAGUGAUGGAAAAAGAUGCCACAGAACCAAACCUUAUUCAGCACUGUGGCUUCCUCCUCUGCUCAGCUCUCAUCUGAGUGUGCAUCCUGCCACCCAGAAGUACUAGCCUUUCCUUUCUCCUGUGUCUGGUUACAACCUGCUUCCUCACUAUAUUUUAAUAUGUUAAAUCAAAAAAUCAAAAAAUAGGAAAUGACAGACUUACCUGUGUGGCAUAUCCUAGGAAUAUCUAACUAUGGAACAUAAUUAGAAAUAACUUUUAUAAAAGUUGCAUGACUUGGAGGAGUGGAACCACUUGGAGCCCUCUGGCUGCACUGCCCCCUUGUGGGCCUCCCAGCCAGGGGUGCACCCAUGAGGAGUGGAGCCACACAGGCACCUGCAGCACCACUCCAGCCCCAGCCCUUCCCUGCGUUUGGCCUCCUGGUUGUGCCUGUACCUGGAUCCACAGCCCAGAGGCACAGCGGAGUCAUAAAGGCCAUUGUCCUGAGCUCCAGAAGAUAGAUCAGAAGUGAACAACAGAAAGAGGGUCUUUUGUCAGGCUCCUUGACAAUUCAAGCCCACUGGAAAAGUGAAGAGAAUCUCUGCAAUAAAGGCACACCAGACCACCAUAUUUGGUAAAUUGGAGGGAUCACCACCUCCUAUCAGAACCUGGACUAUCUUCAGGGGAAGAGCAGCUG
This 1496-nucleotide long non-coding RNA is filed under the name Heterocephalus glaber (naked mole-rat). Its description in RNAcentral is "lncRNA (ENSHGLG00100050075.1)". The record is from RNAcentral. Lineage: Eukaryota; Metazoa; Chordata; Mammalia; Rodentia; Bathyergidae.